Long non-coding RNA from Trifolium pratense (red clover), 599 nucleotides. RefSeq lists it as uncharacterized. The record is from RefSeq and is a predicted model, not a curated record. The transcript has 3 exons. NCBI's taxonomy places the organism in Eukaryota, Viridiplantae, Streptophyta, Magnoliopsida, Fabales, Fabaceae.
GACUCUUAUCAGUACACUCCCAGCGGAUUUUAUGGCUUUAAUCGAUAUCUCUUCAACGUUGAACAGAACAGAGCAACCAAAUUCAAAUUUCCCCUUCAAUCUCUCACUCUGUUCUUUAUCUUCUCUCAUUUUUUUUGGAUUGCUUCAUUUCUCCUUCUCUUUUGACAAAUCCAGCAACGGGAAAGAAUGAGGAAUCAUCGCACACGUCGGAGGCGAGAAAGAAUGAGUAAUCAGCAUACACAAAGACGUUAAGGAAAGAAAGUUCUUAGAAAGUUCUUAGGUGACAGAUGGGUUCCUCUGUGUUUAAAGGAAUUUGAUCCCUUUUAGGAAAGAAAGUUCUUAAAACUCAUAAAGGAGCUAAAAGUAAUGGAAAUAAGAAAAAUUAUAGCUUUCUGGGAUUUUGUUCAUCAAUCAUUUCAUAAAGGAUGUUUCAGGUAACAUAAAGCAUAUGCAAUUUUAGGUAACACAUGAAGCAUGAGAUUAAAUAUGUAUUUACUAUUAUAAACAUAAAGCAAAAACAAUUUCAGGAAACACAUGAUUGAAUGUUUAAGAAACAUGAGAUUAAUUGCUUUUGUGAACUUCUCAAUACUUUUUUAAUA